This 253-nucleotide ribosomal RNA is filed under the name uncultured bacterium. RNAcentral's name for it is "partial 16S ribosomal RNA". It matches the Rfam family "Bacterial small subunit ribosomal RNA", at positions 524 to 776 of the family's 1533-position model. The record is from RNAcentral.
UACAGAGGUCCCAAGCGUUGUUCGGAUUCAUUGGGCGUAAAGGGUGCGUAGGUGGCGCCAUAAGUCAGGUGUGAAAUUUCGGAGCUUAACUCCGAAACUGCAUUUGAUACUGUGGUGCUUGAGGACUGGAGAGGAGACUGGAAUUUACGGUGUAGCAGUGAAAUGCGUAGAGAUCGUAAGGAAGACCAGUGGCGAAGGCGGGUCUCUGGACAGUUCCUGACACUGAGGCACGAAGGCCAGGGGAGCAAACGGG